GAUGAACGCUGGCGGCGUGCCUAAUACAUGCAAGUCGAGCGAAUGGAUUAAGAGCUUGCUCUUAUGAAGUUAGCGGCGGACGGGUGAGUAACACGUGGGUAACCUGCCCAUAAGACUGGGAUAACUCCGGGAAACCGGGGCUAAUACCGGAUAAUAUUUUGAAUUGCAUGGUUCAAAAUUGAAAGGCGGCUUCGGCUGUCACUUAUGGAUGGACCCGCGUCGCAUUAGCAAGUUGGUGAGGUAACGGCUCACCAAGGCAACGAUGCGUAGCCGACCUGAGAGGGUGAUCGGCCACACUGGGACUGAGACACGGCCCAGACUCCUACGGGAGGCAGAAGUAGGGAAUCUUCCGCAAUGGACGAAAGUCUGACGGAGCAACGCCGCGUGAGUGAUGAAGGCUUUCGGGUCGUAAAACUCUGUUGUUAGGGAAGAACAAGUGCUAGUUGAAUAAGCUGGCACCUUGACGGUACCUAACCAGAAAGCCACGGCUAACUACGUGCCAGCCGCCGCGGUAA
RNAcentral lists this ribosomal RNA (515 nucleotides) under uncultured bacterium. RNAcentral's name for it is "partial 16S ribosomal RNA". It matches the Rfam family "Bacterial small subunit ribosomal RNA", at positions 28 to 523 of the family's 1533-position model. The record is from RNAcentral.